CAUGUCCGGCCAGCAAGGGUAUCCUCAUGCAAACUUGAUUCUCAACCAUGGAAAAUGAAAAAGAAUGCAUGGGAAAGGUAGAUCACAAGCUAAACUCAAGAAAUUUUACCUUUGAUUGCUUGAUUACUUGAAAUCCACCAAUUUUCUUUUGAAUUUUCACUCUACGGUUCUUGUUCUUUCUUUUCUUCCUUUGUUCUUCUUUGGCCGGCCAUAAUGAAGAGAAAUGGGCUGGUUUUGUGCUAAUUUUGAGGAAAAUAAUAAAGAAUUAAUAGCUUGACACUUGUCACUUUACCAUUGUUCCAUUUUUAAAUUCUUUACUAUUAAGCUUUCUUUCUCCACCACAUAAAAUCCUUCAAUUAUCCAUGAUAAUAUUGGGUAAAAUCCAUGUUCUGGACAAGUGUUGGGUGGUGCAAAAUUACAAUUUUGCCCCUGAGGUGGCAAACUGACUAUUUUGCCCUUAUGCUCGGAAAAAUGUCGAAAUUAAAAUUCUUCACUUUUCAAACUCAAAUUAUAUUUCGAAUGAUCAGUCUUAGUCAAAAAUUUCAUCCAACACUCACAUCUUUAACCUCGGGUGGAAAAAUAACCAUUUUACCCCUAGGUCAUGAAAAUUCCAUUUUGACUCCAAAUCAGUCCUCGAACUCUGAAUCACCAUUUUAAGUCUUUCUGGGAAUUCAAAAUUCUCAAUUUCAUCUUAAAAUCUCUAUUUGGUCUAGUGCAAGGCUUAAUUCCACGUAAUUCUACCAUUCAGUAUACUAUCGACUUUUGACAAUUUUUCGGGGUUUUCCAAGUAUGCAAGCAUAUUGUCAAGCACAUGAAUGACAUGGCAUGUAUUUUAUAAGGUUGGGCUUGAUAGCACUACCCCCCUUAAAAUAAAAUUUUGACCUCAAAAUUUCACUUACUGGAUUCGAAGAAAAUAUGUGGGUAUUGGUUUCUCAUCUGAUGCUCGACUUCCCACGUCAUCUCCUCCAUUCGAGCAUUCUUCCACAACACUUUAACCAUUGGAAUGCUCUUGUUCCUCAACACUCGAUCCUUUUGAUCUAGAAUGUGUAUAGGUUGCACCUCGAAUUUCAAACCUUCAUGCAACUCAAUCGGAGGUGUCUCUAGAAUAUGGGAAGGAUCGGGAACAUACUUUUUCAGCAUUGAGACGUGGAAAACAUUAUGAAUCCGAUCUAACUUCGGGGGUAAUUCGAGUCUAUAAGCCACUAGCCCAAUCUUUUCAAAGAUACCAAAGGGUCAAAUAUAUCUUGGAUUGAGCUUUCCCCACUUCCCGAAUUGAAUCACACCUUUCAUUAUCCAAUAAAUACCACGAUCACCCAAAUAGCAUCCUUCCCACUCUGUGUUCGCAGCAAACCCAAUACAAAGUUCAUAGUCACGUGUUCCCAAUUCCAUUCAGGAAUCGGUAAAGGCUGAAGAGUACCUGAUGGUUUUUGAUGUUCCGCCUUAAUCUAUUGGCAUGUGAGACAUUUUGCUACAAACUCUGCUAUGUCUCAUUUCAUACCCAGCCACCAAUAACUUUCCUUAAUGGUCCGAUACACCUUAGUGCUUCCGGGAUGUAAAGCAUAGGCGAAAGAAUGAGCUUCCUCCAAAAUAGCUCAUCUCAACUGAUCAUCCUUAGAGACACAAAUUCGGUCUCUAAGCAUCAAAGUACCAUCAUCACUAAGUCUGAACUCACUAGUUUCUCCAUUUUGCAGCUUUUGAACUUCCUGUUUCAACUCAUCAUCGGAUUUUUGCAAUUCUCUGAUUUGAUUCAACAAUGAAGGUCUAACAUCAAAACUAGCAAGUAAGGUUCCAUCCUCGCCAUUAUUCAACUGGAUCCCUAGGGAUUUCAUCUCAAGUAACAUCGAAACAUAAAAACUCUGGAGUAUUGCUAACGAAGAUGAGGAUUUACGACUUAAAGCAUCUGCUACAACAUUUGCCUUCCUAGGGUGAUAAUCAAUCACUAAGUCGUAAUCCUUAAUCAACUCUAACCAUCGUCUCUGUCUCAAGUUAAGCUCUUUCUGGGUGAGCAAGUAUUUCAAACUCUUAUGGUCGAUAAAAAUCUGGCAAUGCUCACCAUAUAAAUAAUGCCUCCAAAUCUUUAAUGUGAAGACUAUUGCUGAUAACUCCAAGUCAGGGCUAGGGUAAUUCGUCUCAUGCUUCUUCAACUGUCGGGAAGCAUAAGUUAUCACUUUCUCAUCUUGCAUCAACAUACACCCUAAUCCCAAUUUACAGGCAUCAUUGUACACCAUAAAUUCUUUUCCACUACUAAGAAGUGUUAAAAUGGGAGCAGAGGUCAAUCGGUUCUUCAGCUCCUGAAAUCAACUCUCACAGACAUCAUCCCACUCAAACUUAACUCCUUUACUAGUCAAACGAGUUAGAGGAGUAGCUAUCAAUAAAAAUCCUUGAACAAACCUCCAAUAAUAACCAACUAAGCUAAGAAAACUACGAAUCUCUGUUACCGUUUUCGGUUAUUCCCAUCGUAAGAUGGCCUUAAUCUUCUUGGGAUCAACAUAAAUUUCAUCCCCAAACACAACAUGUCCCAAGAAAACCACUUCCUUUAACCAGAACUCACAUUUAGAGAACUUAGCAUAGAGUUGUCUCUCGCGCAAAAUUUGCAACACAAUGCGCAAAUGGGCAGCAUGUUCAUCAUUAUUCUUCGAAUAAACUAGGAUGUCAUCUACGAAUACUAUCACGAACUUAUCUAAGUAUGGAUGAAACACCUUGUUCAUAAGAUCCAUAAAAGUUACCAGGGCAUUAGUCAAACCAAACAGCAUCAUCAAAAACUCAUAAUGCCCAUAACGCGUCCUGAAAGCAGUCUUAGGUACAUCCUACUCCUUAAUCUUCAAUUGAUAAUACCCAGACCUCAAAUCAAUCUUAGAAAACACCAUAGAACCUCGUAAUUGAUAAAAAAGAUCAUCGAUCCAGGGUAGUGGAUAUUUGUUCUUGAUGGUCACUCGGUUCAGUUGACGAUAAUCGAUACAUAACUGAAGAGUGCCAUCCUUCUUCUUUACAAAUAGGACUAGUGCUCCCCAAGGAGAAGUGCUAUGGUGAAUAAAACCCUUAUCUACCAAAUCUUGCAAUUGGACUUUCAGUUCCUUCAACUCCACUAGAGCCAUUCGAUACGGAGGGAUAAAAAUAGGUGUGGUACCCGGAAGUAGAUGAAUAGGGUACUCGAGCUCUCGAUCAGAAGGUAGUCCCGAUAACUCAUCAGGAAUACAUUAGAAAACUCACAUACUAUUGGGACAUCCUCUAACUUAGGUUCCCCCUUUUAAGUAUCGAUCACGUGUGCCAAAUAAGCUGGAUACCCUUUCUGCCCUAAUUUCAAAGCUUUGAUGGUCGAGAUUACACAGAACGGUAAUACUCGACGUUCCCCUGCAAAAACAAUCUCUGCUCCCUUCGAAUUUCUAAGAACAACUUCUUUCCUGAAACAAUUCGCAUUAGCCCGAUGUGCAGUUAACCAGUCCAUACCCAAUAUCAAAUCGAAAUCUCGGAUCUCUAGAGGAAUUAAAUCACCGCUAAAUUCUUCAUCACCAACCAUUACCCUAUAGUCUCUAUAACAAGUAUUUCUAAUGAACUGUUCUCCUAGAGGGGUAUAAACUACAAUUUCUUCCUCUAAUGGUGACAGAUUUCUAUCACCAAUUGAUGUAAAUGCCAUACUCACAUAAGACCUAUCUGAGCCAGAAUCUAUUAAGACACAUGCAUCUUUAUCAAAUAAAAACAUAGUACCUGUCACUGCUCCAGGUCAAACCCAUGCCUCAUCUUCUGUCACAGCAAAAACUCUUGUCGAAUAACAAGUCUGUGGUCUAGAGGGUGGAUGUGCCGGAGUAUUACUCUCCACACCAGACUGUAUGGCUACUCCCUAUCUCGGUGGUAACCUAGAAAAAUCUUUCCUAUGCAUAUCAGUGCGAGCUGGUGGAGAUGAUGCAGCUAUAGUAGCUCAUCCGAACUGUGGGCAAGUACUCCUAAUAUGACCCUACUAACCACAAUGAAAACAUCGUGCAGGCCCCCUACACAGCCCAACAUGAUAAUUCUCAUAAUUUCUGCAUCUAUCAAAACCUCCGAAACUCUUCCCAGGAAAAGUCAUCGCAGACCUACUAGAUCUCAGAGGCCUCUGCUGCUGUUGUGAAAAUGGGGGUCGAAAAGAUGCUACAGAAGCAGAAGUAGUACUCCUUGAAGCAGAUGAGUCUUUGUCCCUCUUUACUGGCUGACUAGAAGAUAUACUAGGAUUCUUCUUUUUUGUAAACUCGGUCUGAAUCCUCCUAUUCUCAAUAGCAAGCUUCUCAACCCGUAAAGCCAUCUGUACUACCUCUUUAUGCGACUCUCUGCUUGUCGCUAUCAUCCGCUCUCUAAUCUUAUUACGAAGCCCUUCCUCGAAAUAAUUGGCCUGAUCCUGCUCAAUUUUCACCAAAUUCAGCACAUAUAACAUCAGCUCGUUAAAACGAGCCUCGUAUUCCUUUACCGUUAGGUUCCCUUGUUUUAAGCUCAAAAAUUCCCUUUUCUUUUCAUUCUGAUGGAAAUAAGUGAAAUACUGACCAUCAAAUUCUCUUAGAAAGUUUGACGAAGUCGGAGGAGUAGUGGAACGGGAUUUUACUGAAUUCCACCAUGUGCGGUCCCUCCUCUCUAAUAAUCUCGUGGCCACCAUCAACUUCAUGUCGUCAUCCAACCUCAUAUCCGAAAGUGUCUCCAAAACUUGAUUAAUCCAAUCUUUGGCUGCGGUUGUAUCCAAAUCACCCAUAAAAGAAAUGCAACCAAGUUGCCUAGCCUUCUUAAGCUUCUUAGAAAUAGAGAUGUCUGGCAUUGGUGGUGGAACAAGAAGUGGAGGUACUGAAGGAGCAGUUGGAGGAACUGCAGAAGGAGCUUGACCAGCUUGAGCUUGGCCAGCAAUAGCGAUAAAGAAGGCUGCCAAUGCCUGAGCCACCUCGGGAGACAUGGUAGGAAUACCAGCAGGUGGAGGAGGAGGUGGAGGAUCUGGAGGAGUCUCGGCCUGCUCAGCAACAGGUGCUGCCCGAAUGGUGGACGUAGUCGAUUCCUCUUCCAUAGGAUCUAACUGACGACAUUAGGAACGACCUCUUCCCUUCCCAGCUGAUCUAGUAAGAUGUGGGUGUUCACGUCGAGGAGGCAUGAUAAUCUAUAAGAGGAAGCAAGCAAGUUUAGGCAACCUUAGGCUCUAUAUGCAGAUGCAUGCAUUUUAUUCAACUUAACCUGACUUAACUUAACUUAACUUAACUUGGGGCCACACUGACACUGUAAAUUUUAAAACAACUUUAAAACCAAAAGCUUUGAUACCAAUCGAAUUGUCAAGACCAGGUACUCCCCUCUAGCCCGUACAACUGUUGCGGUGUCUAGAUGGACACUAUUACACAGAGUGCCAACCAGAACCCCGCAAGGCUUAAUAUCAGUUUCUCAUUUCCCCUAUGAGUAACCGUUGCCAAAUAUCAUGUUCUAAAAGAUUUUAAGUUAUUUCCAAACCAAAACAAAUAAAAAAUAAUUUUCGUCUCUCAAGGGUAUUUUGGUCAUUUUUCCCUGAAAAUAUUGAAAUCAGCUAAUAAUGUAGUAUACGAGUGUAAAACACAUAUUUCAUUAUCAAAAAUAAGUUUACAUGUCUAAAACGUUCAUUUAAAGUGAAACUAUACCUAUUUGAAUAUAAUAAAAAUAUUUAAUAAAAUAUUCUAUUUUCUUAUAAAAUAAUAUUUAUACAGUUACCGGUAAAUAAUUUUUAUAGCAUAAAAGCUAAAUAAAUUCAUACAUACUGUAAUACAGAUAACCAAAGCAUAAGAUUUAAUUUACAGUGACACGUGGGCCCCCAAAUGAUAAAAAUAAAACAAGGCUAUGAACCUACAAUUUUUGAAAAAGUAAAGCCAACUAUAGCCUUCGACAAUAUCAGCUAUCUACAAAACUAUCCUAAGCCUGAAAUGGGUGGAAAUGAGGGUGGUGAGAUUAUAUCCCAGUGAGUAAACAAAUACCAUCUAAAAUAUCUAAAGCCGAGUAACUGGAGACGAUUAAAAUAGAUCAUCAUGAAAUGGUUCAUAACAUCAAAACACAUUUCAAAUCAUUUAAGCCAGUUACAUUUCAUCCAAAUUUACAACAAGGCUUAUGUAUCUCUUAAAAACUUGGCUCGUGCCAAAACUCAUUCCCAGGGAUACCUUGAUCAGAGGCAUCCAAUCGAGAUCGCCAAGGCUGUUUAGAAAGUCAUAUACGUACAAAACACAUUUUUACAUUUAAAAGCACAGUUGUUCCUUGGCGUUGGCUCAAUUCACUCUCACGUGGUGGUUUGGCAUGAAGUGAACUCUAAACUUUACCCCAGGAGAUACCUUACGCACCUUUUCGAUUGAGGAAAGAAUAUAAUGCGGUUUACUGUGCCCCUCUAAUAGGCUGGUCCACAGAAACCCGCUACUGCAGUGACUAAUCAAUAUAUAAUCCACCAAUUCAAUAAAAUUUGCAAUAACAUGACAUGGUAGUUAUUUUAUUUUAUAGCCUCUCAAGGCAAAUUAACAGUUCAUACAUUCUCAGCACAUUUACUAAUUCAACCAUUCAUGCCAACAUUAUCAUAAGCCAUUCAAUUCAAACCAGGAUUUAUAACACGUCAAUUAGUCUCCAAUUACUCCAUUUGAAAACCAUCAUUCAAUUUCAAGACAAUUUUACAAAAUCAUUUCAUUUAAUCACAUUUUGUUUAUACAAUAAAAAAUUUAUCAUUUAAACUCAUUUUUCAUAAAAUCUCAAAAUCGGAUAAAAACUACUGUAGAUAAUUAAGACGAUAACAAGGUUACUCACAGUAUCAGGAGUUUGAAAUACUCCUAUUCUCAAUCCUCUGACUCAACGUCUUUACCCUUGUUAGAGGGCUCACCACUUAUAUACAAUACAAGACACACAAUUCAAUAUACUGUGUCAUACCAUUAUAAAUCUAUUUCAGGCUCUUUACUAAUGCAUGAAAUGGAAUGCAAAUUGUUCGGAUUAUUGUCUAAACACGGUGUUCUACACAAAUUAAAUUGUGCAGCAAAAUAAAUCGGUAUUGGCCUAAUUCGAUCUAUCACCUGAUUAAUUGCCAAUAUGUCCAAUUCAACUCUAAUUAAUUCCAUUUUUCUCCCAAUUCUUCAAAUCACCAAACACAAGUCAAAUAACAUAAAAUUUAACAAAACUAUCCUCACAUUUCUUUUUGAGUAUUUCGGCCAUGGUGAGUGCAUCAACACUAUGAUUUUUCGUAUUUGAUUUUCUCACCGUAAUUCAUCAUUUCCUAACCAAUUCACUUGAAAUAAAAUCAAAUCCACCAUCCACACUCUACAUGGAAAAUUCAGCCAAUGAUGGGUGAUGGGAGAAAGUGAAUUUCUCUUGUUGGCUUUUCAUGCUACACAUCACUAACUAUCUGCAAACACUAAAAUACAUUAAAAUCUAACCAAAUCAAGCAUCAAAACUCCUGCCUCCAUGUCCGGACAGUAAGGGUAUCCUCAUGCAAACUUGAUUCUCAACCAUGGGAAAUGAAAAAGAAUGCAUGGGAAAGGUAGAUCACAAGCUAAACUCGAGAAAUUUUACCUUUGAUUGCUUGAUUACUUGAAAUCCACCAAUUUUCUCUUGAAUUUUCACUCUAGGGUUCUUGUUCUUUCUUUUCUUCCUUUGUUCUUCUUUG
RNAcentral lists this long non-coding RNA (7600 nucleotides) under Theobroma cacao (cacao). RNAcentral's name for it is "long non-coding RNA (TCAC_LNC004574)". The record is from RNAcentral. Lineage: Eukaryota; Viridiplantae; Streptophyta; Magnoliopsida; Malvales; Malvaceae.